Molecule: ribosomal RNA, 254 nt
Filed under: uncultured bacterium
Lineage: Bacteria
Description: partial 16S ribosomal RNA
Rfam family: Bacterial small subunit ribosomal RNA
Source: RNAcentral
CACGUAGGCACCAAGCGUUGUCCGGAUUUAUUGGGCGUAAAGAGCUCGUAGGCGGUUGAGUAAGUCGGGUGUGAAAACUCUGGGCUUAACCCAGAGCCGCCACCCGAUACUGCUCUGACUUGAGUUCGGUAGGGGAGCAGGGAAUUCCUAGUGUAGCGGUGAAAUGCGCAGAUAUUAGGAGGAACACCGGUGGCGAAGGCGCUGCUCUGGGCCGAUACUGACGCUGGGGAGCGAAAGCGUGGGUAGCAAACAGG